Molecule: long non-coding RNA, 268 nt
Filed under: Hordeum vulgare
Lineage: Eukaryota; Viridiplantae; Streptophyta; Magnoliopsida; Poales; Poaceae
Description: long non-coding RNA (HVUL_LNC015317)
Source: RNAcentral
UUUACUCCAUUUGUGAACGAAAAUUCCACCUGUGACAACUUGUUCGGGCAUUACAAAACACAUACAAACAACAGUAAAGACAUCACUAGAUCCAACCUUUAAAAUGUGAAUUGACGCGCGUUAAGUUCAUCGUUUGCAUCUCCCAGCUAUGCCGCGAAUAGUACAAUGCCGACCACUGAGAUGUCGAAGCGGCUUAAUUCUUAUUUAUGUCGAUUCUGGCACCUUAAUCAUUUUCCCCGCGGCUUCCCUUAGUUGAUACUAAUCCACU